Gymnodraco acuticeps is the source of this 2104-nucleotide RNA transcript. RefSeq lists it as uncharacterized. NCBI's taxonomy places the organism in Eukaryota, Metazoa, Chordata, Actinopteri, Perciformes, Bathydraconidae. The transcript is spliced from 6 exons. The record is from RefSeq and is a predicted model, not a curated record.
UCAGUCUGAGAACCAAAGUUCAGUCCCUAUUUUCUGAUGUUUGGGAGGGAGGCGCCCAUCAGAGGUGCCCAAGGAGUACAAGAUAACAGAAGACAAAGUGAAAAGGAUGGUGGAAAGGGAAGAUGUCUGGAAGGGACUUCAAAAACAGGAGGCCGUUUUCACGCUUGUAAAGAAAAACAUUUAAAAAAGCCAAGAGAGGAAACUGGAGAAAGGGCAAGCGGACAACUUCCAAGUGGGCGAGUUGGUUUUAAAAAGAAACAAAAGGUUGGAGCAAAGAAAAGGUGGAAAACUAGAGGUGUAAAUGCAGGGACCUACCGGGUUGUGGACAUUGAGGGGAAAGUUGUUGAAAUAGUUUCAGAAAAGGGAACCAAUAAGAUGAAAGUCAACAUUGACCACCUCGCACACUAUGUCCAGCCAGAGGAGAGGAUCCCUGCUAAAUUGAACAAAUUGUUGGAUCCUUCUCCUCUGGCUGAUCCACUGACCUCCACAUCCUCCCAAACCCUGGCUCCAUCAACUCGGGCAGAAGGAGCAUCUUCUGAGGUGGAGACUUUAAUCCGAGACAUAUGGGCAGGGAGGAGGAAGGAGACGCUAUGGGCCAAGUAUGGCCCAUACAAAGUUUACAGCGAGAACCUCAUGGUCUUGGCCCCAGGACAGCAGUUGGAGGGAGAGAUUAUCAAUGCCUAUUUGACUCCUACCUCAUCACUUCCCUCUGGCGGGGAACACACAAAGGCGAUUUAAGAAAGGUGAGUAGAGUAGGACUAGAAAUAAGUGUAUGUACUUAAGUAUGUACAAAUAUUUUUCAGUUGGACCUGACAAAACACAAUGUGGCAGCUGGAGCCGUCUGUCACAAGGCACACUGGACCCUCAUUAUCAUGUGUCUGAGGGAAAACAGGUCCCUUUUCUUGGACCCAUUUGGGGCCACCAAAGAACAGAUAAGCCGCUGCAAAGACCUAACACGAUCGCUGGUCCGCAAGACAAACCCAGCUGUUGGGCAUGCGACAGCAUGGAUCAUCCCAAACAGCAGGACACAACAUCAUGUGGUGUGUUGAUUUGCAAGGUAACAUUUAUGAAUGUGUGUAUAUAUAACCAUCUGUCAUCAAACCAUAAUACGAAGAUACUUAUCUCAGACUUUGUUAGCUUGCAGAGCAAAUACUAUUGGACCAGAAGGUCCAGUACCCUGUUGACCAGGCGGGUGUGGCCUCAAUGAGGUUCGACAUGGCAAUGUCCCUGGUGAAAAAUUCCGGUAUACAGGACUAAACCAGAGAAACCGAAAUAUCCUGUAUUUUUUGGCAUUUCACUACAUUUAUGCUGUGUCGGGCCUGUGGGGAACUUAGUUCAGGGUUCACCAAGGUUGACCAAUGGGUAAGACGUUGUAUUAAUUUCCUGACCACCAUUUGGCUGGAAGACUGGGAUACACCCUGGAUAGGUUACCUCAACAUCACCGGGUGAACACUAUAACAGAUAUUGAACAUUUUUACUUGAAUUCACCAAACUUGCAUGUCUUUGCACUAUGGGAGAACACUGGUGCAGUGGAAGGAACUUCUGAGCACGGACUCUAUACAGAUAAGAUCCCAACCUAUACAUUGCUUAUUUAGUUAAAUGUUAACAGAGUGAUUGUAAAGCGUACUCUGGAUGAGUGAUGUUAAUCUAAAAAAAUGUUGGCCAUGUUCUAACAUGUAUUAUUUCUGUUUCUUUUCAGAUUGAGUGCACCGGCUGUACCAAAUGGUACCACACAACAUGUGUUGGGCAGCCCUCUAUCUCACUGGACUAUUACUGCAAAGCCUGCACUUUAUAAACACACACACUUCUUGUUUAUGUUCACAUGUGGUCCAGGCUGUUAUCAUCGCACACUUAAAGCUAAAGUAUUACGUUUUUCAAAGGCAACUUAUAUAUAUAUUUAAAGAAAUGUACAUAGAUUUGUGUGUACACCCACUGUUAUAUCAUUUGGAAUGGAAUCUAACAUACUGACAUGACAAAUGGUGGAAUGUGCUCCCCAUUGAAAUCAGGACUGCAGAAAUCUCUUUCGACUCCACUUCGAGCGAUAGAAUUACUAACAAAGCACUUAUAUACUAAUAAAGGACUGGCUUACCUAAAGCCAGUUGAG